CAAUUGCGAGAAGGAUGGAAGUGGAAAUCCUUUUUAAAAUGCAGUGCAGCGGAAUUUAAAAAGAUUGAAACGUACAGCCUGACCCAAC
Molecule: small RNA, 88 nt
Filed under: Flavobacterium noncentrifugens
Lineage: Bacteria; Pseudomonadati; Bacteroidota; Flavobacteriia; Flavobacteriales; Flavobacteriaceae
Description: Flavo-1 RNA
Rfam family: Flavo-1 RNA
Source: Rfam by way of RNAcentral